UACGAAGGGGGCUAGCGGUGUUCGGAUUUACUGGGCGUAAAGCGCGUGUAGGCGGGUCGUUAAGUUGGGGGUGAAAUCCCGGAGCUCAACUCCGGAACUGCCUCCGAAACUGGCGACCUGGAGCAAGAUAGAGGCGAGUGGAAUUCCGAGUGUAGAGGUGAAAUUCGUAGAUAUUCGGAGGAACACCAGUGGAGAAGGCGACUCGCUGGAUCUUUGCUGACGCUGAGACGCGAAAGCGUGGGGAGCAAACAGG
This 253-nucleotide ribosomal RNA is filed under the name uncultured bacterium. Its description in RNAcentral is "partial 16S ribosomal RNA". It matches the Rfam family "Bacterial small subunit ribosomal RNA", at positions 524 to 776 of the family's 1533-position model. The record is from RNAcentral.